GUAACCUUUGUCGGUUAUCCCGAUAUUUUUAGGGUCAGUUUGAUCGAUCCUCCGACGAUGACCGUAAGCAGUUUUUUGGAACAGCUUCUUUGCUCCAGGGACAUGUGAUACCCGAGACUAUACAACGUGCUAACGAACGCUCUGCAGUUUAUUUGUACUAAUCAUUUGAGUCGACCUAAAUCGCACGGCUCGAGUUCCUGUUCGUAAACGAAAAAAGAAAUAUGGCUGGAUUAUACAAGAGACGAAGAAUCGCGUGAAAGAAACGAACCAGAGCGAAGCAUUAUGCAAACAACAAAGUUGUACAAGGAAGAGACUGGCAAAGCAGUCGUUGUAAAAAAGUGAAAAAUGCCGUUUCACCCUCGGACGUCGCCUGUAGCGGAAAAGAGCGAGAUAAUAAAUCGAUACACGGUAGCUGAUAUGUUAUGUGCCCCAUGAAUUUAUGUAUGCGUUUCGCACACGUGAAUGGAAUUUUUAACCCAUGUUUGGGUAAGAAAAUUACAUUUUGAUCCUAUAUU
Molecule: long non-coding RNA, 515 nt
Filed under: Neodiprion pinetum (white pine sawfly)
Lineage: Eukaryota; Metazoa; Arthropoda; Insecta; Hymenoptera; Diprionidae
Description: uncharacterized LOC124224903
Source: RNAcentral